GAGUUUGAUCCUGGCUCAGAUUGAACGCUGGCGGCAUGCCUUACACAUGCAAGUCGAACGGCAGCACGGGAGCAAUCCUGGUGGCGAGUGGCGAACGGGUGAGUAAUAUAUCGGAACGUGCCCAGUCGUGGGGGAUAACGCAGCGAAAGCUGUGCUAAUACCGCAUACGAUCUCUGGAUGAAAGCGGGGGACUCGCAAGAGCCUCGCGCGAUUGGAGCGGCCGAUAUCAGAUUAGCUAGUUGGCGGGGUAAAAGCCCACCAAGGCGACGAUCUGUAGCUGGUCUGAGAGGACGACCAGCCACACUGGAACUGAGACACGGUCCAGACUCCUACGGGAGGCAGCAGUGGGGAAUUUUGGACAAUGGGCGAAAGCCUGAUCCAGCAAUGCCGCGUGCAGGAUGAAGGCCUUCGGGUUGUAAACUGCUUUUGUACGGAACGAAACGGUCUGCCCUAAUACGGUGGGCUAAUGACGGUACCGUAAGAAUAAGCACCGGCUAACUACGUGCCAGCAGCCGCGGUAAUACGUAGGGUGCGAGCGUUAAUCGGAAUUACUGGGCGUAAAGCGUGCGCAGGCGGUUAUAUAAGACAGAUGUGAAAUCCCCGGGCUCAACCUGGGACCUGCAUUUGUGACUGUAUAGCUAGAGUACGGUAGAGGGGGGAUGGAAUUCCGCGUGUAGCAGUGAAAUGCGUAGAUAUGCGGAGGAACACCGAUGGCGAAGGCAAUCCCCUGUACCUGUACUGACGCUCAUGCACGAAAGCGUGGGGAGCAAAACAGGAUUAGAUACCCUGNUAGUCCACGCCCUAAACGAUGUCAACUGGNUGUUGG
Molecule: ribosomal RNA, 826 nt
Filed under: uncultured bacterium
Lineage: Bacteria
Description: bacterial SSU rRNA
Rfam family: Bacterial small subunit ribosomal RNA
Source: RNAcentral